UCCAGCGACUGCUCUGGGAACCCGUCCUGCCUGCUGUGAGCUGGGAGGAUCGGCUGGGGACCAGAAGAUCAUAGCCGCUGGCCUCUGCUGACCCCGCCGCUGCUCUCCUCGUGGUGCCUGUAAUCGCUACCCGACCUGUCUCCCGGCCUGCCACGAUCACACGGCCUCCUUUCUCCCCCUGCUGCAGGAAGCUGAGAGGAGGUGCUGGUCAGUUCUCCCCAGCGCUUGUGCCUGCAUGUCUCAUAGGACAGGCGAAGCGGGUUAUCCCAACAAACCUUGGCUCUUGACCCCAUUGUCAAAUCCUGUCGGUGAAGCCCAAGAAUGGUACCAAGAGACACACAUUGCAUCGCAGGGAAUAAUUGAGCGUGCCUUCGGUGUACUUAAAACCCAGUUUUGAUGUUUAGACUCUUCCGGUGGUGCUCUUCUAUACUCACCAUCGAAGGUUUGCUGCAUAGUAAAUGGAUGUUGUAUUCUACACAACAUAUGUGUCGCAAACCGUUUGCCGGUGACUCUUUGUCGCAGGGCUUUCCGCAACGGGAACCGUUCUUCUGCUCCACCGGUGGGUAUGGACGAAGGACAUGAAGCUUGAAGAAUUUUGAUCAAGACGUAUUUUUCCUCAGCCUAGUUGUCCCGUUGACGUCCUGUUGACGUCCUGUUAUCCACAAGUUGCAUCCUGUUGAUGGGUUGUCACAGUUCUUCUGCCAGUUUACCCCCCUGUACCAUGGACGGCCUACUUGUGAUGUGGACCUGCCCCACCACCAUGUUACAAAGACACCCUUCAGGUCCUACGGAGAAUCUUCUCCCAAAGUGAAAAGUACCCUCGUCGGAUGUAGGGUGACACUACAGUACCCCAGCUAUACCAUGAAUUGCCUACUUGUGAUGUGGACCUGCCCCUCCGCCAUGUUACAAAGACACCCUUCAGGUCCUACGGAGUAGCCCUUCCAAAGUGAAAAGUACCCUCUCCGGAUGUAAAGUGACACUACAGUAGCCGUACCCCAGCUAUACCAUGGACUGCCUACUUGUGAUGUGGGCCUGCCCCUCCAUCAUGUUACAAAGACACCCUUCAGGUCUUACGGAGAAAGCCCUCCCAAAGUUAAAAGUACCCUCUCUGGAUGUAAAGUGACACUACAGUACCCCCCUCUACCAUGGACGGCCUACCACAAGACCUUCAAUACCACCGCAUUCGUGAAAUGCCUUAUUGUUAAUUUCAUUCACCUUUAAUUUAAAUAAAAAAACA
Pseudophryne corroboree (corroboree frog) is the source of this 1237-nucleotide long non-coding RNA. RefSeq lists it as uncharacterized. NCBI's taxonomy places the organism in Eukaryota, Metazoa, Chordata, Amphibia, Anura, Myobatrachidae. The transcript is spliced from 6 exons. The record is from RefSeq and is a predicted model, not a curated record.